GAUGAACGCUGGCGGCGUGCCUAAUACAUGCAAGUCGAGCGAACGGACGAGAAGCUUGCUUCUCUGAUGUUAGCGGCGGACGGGUGAGUAACACGUGGAUAACCUACCUAUAAGACUGGGAUAACUUCGGGAAACCGGAGCUAAUACCGGAUAAUAUUUUGAACCGCAUGGUUCAAAAGUGAAAGACGGUCUUGCUGUCACUUAUAGAUGGAUCUGGGCUGCAUUAGCUAGUUGGUAAGGUAACGGCUUAUCAAGGCAACGAUGCAUAGCCGACCUGUGAGGGUGAUAGGCCACAUUGGAGCUUAACCGCGGUCAAGGCUCCUAAGAGAGGGAGCAGUAGGGUAUCUGCCGCAAUGGGCGAAAGCCUGACGGAGCAACGCGGAGUGAGUGAUGAAGGUCUUCGGUUCGUAAAAAUCUGUUAUGAGGGAAGAACAUAUGUGUAAGUAACUGUGCACAUCUUGACGGUACCUAAUCAGAAAGCCACGGCUAACUACGUG
RNAcentral lists this ribosomal RNA (497 nucleotides) under uncultured bacterium. Its description in RNAcentral is "partial 16S ribosomal RNA". It matches the Rfam family "Bacterial small subunit ribosomal RNA", at positions 28 to 507 of the family's 1533-position model. The record is from RNAcentral.